GGUUGAUCCUGCCGGACCUUACUGCUAUCGGGAUGAGACUAAGCCAUGCGAGUCAGGCGCUCUCUAGCCAUGUUGGGAGUGCGGCAUACGGCUCAGUAACACGUAGCUAACCUACCCUUAGGAUGAGGAUAACCCCGGGAAACUGGGCCUAAUACUCAAUAAGCGGAAAUACCUGGAAUGGCUUUCCACUGAAAAGAUGUUAGGAACAUGCUUCUGACGUUGCCUAAGGAUGGGGCUGCGACCGAUCAGGUUGUUGGUGGGGUAACGGCCUACCAAGCCUACAACCGGUACGGGCCCUGAGAGGGGGAGCCCGGAGAUGGGAACUGAGACAAGGUCCCAGGUCCUACGGGGUGCAGCAGGCGCGAAAACUCCACAAUGCACGAAUGUGUGAUGGGGUCAUCCCGAGUGCUGUCCGUUGAGGAUAGCUUUUACUCAGUGUAAGGAACUGGGAGAAUAAAGGGGGGGCAAGUCUGGUGUCAGCCGCCGCGGUAAUACCAGCCCCCUGAGUGGUAGGGACGAUUAUUUGGCCUAAAGCGUCCGUAGCCUGCUCUGCAAGUCUUUCGUUAAAUCUAACGAUUCAAUCGUUAGGUCGCGUAAGAUACUGCUGGGCUCGAGGAUGGGAGAGGUCGACGGUAGUCCUAGGGUAGGGGUGAAAUCCUAUAAUCCUUGGAGGACCACCAGUGGCGAAGGCGGUCGACUAGAACAUGCCUGACGGUGAUGGACGAAAGCUGGGGGAGCGAACCGGAUUAGACACCCGGGUAGUCCCAGCUGUAAACGAUGCGGGCUAGGUGUUGGAACAGCUACGAGCUGCUCCAGUGCCGCAGAGAAGUCGUUAAGCCCGCCGCCUGGGAAGUACGGUCGCAAGACUGAAACUUAAAGGAAUUGGCGGGGGAGCACCACAAGGGGUGAAAGCUGCGGUUCAAUUGGAGUCAACGCCGGA
This 940-nucleotide ribosomal RNA is filed under the name uncultured archaeon. Its description in RNAcentral is "bacterial SSU rRNA". It matches the Rfam family "Archaeal small subunit ribosomal RNA", at positions 6 to 922 of the family's 1478-position model. The record is from RNAcentral.